AAUUCUCAGAUCUUGAAUUGUUGUAAUGGCAAGUCAAGAUUUUGGAUGUGGAGUUUGCAGACUUUCAUUGCUUUGCUUCUCUUAAAAGAAUUAGUGGCGACUGUUCUCCACAUUGGCGUGAUAGUUAUCUAUGCCUGUAUGUGUGAGAUGUUAAGUGUAGCUGCUUUCAAACAGUCUAGGAUAACUGGACAAUUAUUUGAACU
Molecule: unclassified non-coding RNA, 203 nt
Filed under: uncultured Agaricales
Lineage: Eukaryota; Fungi; Basidiomycota; Agaricomycetes; Agaricales
Description: sequence contains ITS2
Source: RNAcentral